Molecule: unclassified non-coding RNA, 383 nt
Filed under: uncultured Pseudomonadota bacterium
Lineage: Bacteria; Pseudomonadati; Pseudomonadota
Description: uncultured proteobacterium contains 16S-23S intergenic spacer region
Source: RNAcentral
UCCGGUUUGGCACCGGCAGUCUCCCUAGAGUUCCCGGCAUCACCCGCUGGCAACUAAGGGCGAGGGUUGCGCUCGUUGCGGGACUUAACCCAACAUCUCACGACACGAGCUGACGACAGCCAUGCAGCACCUGUCACCGGUCCAGCCGAACUGAAGGUCUCCAUCUCUGGAGACCGCGACCGGGAUGUCAAGGGCUGGUAAGGUUCUGCGCGUAGCUUCGAAUUAAACCACAUGCUCCACCGCUUGUGCGGGUCCCCGUCAAUUCCUUUGAGUUUUAAGCUUGCGCUCGUACUCCCCAGGCGGGGUGCUUAACGCGUUAGCUUCACAGCCCAGGGGGUCGAUACCCCGAACUAUUAGCACUCAUCGUUUACGGCAUGGACUAC